ACUAUUCCCUGACCCUGGAAUGCUGGCGUGUGCAGCUGUGCUGCGGGCCAGGCCUCCUUCGGGGCUGGGAGGAGAGGAUCCAGGCCCUGGAUGCGAGAAAGCGGGGUCAGGAGUCAAUGAGUCGCUCCCUGCCCGCAUCCCUCCCUUUCUCCAGUUGUCUGAGAGAUAGCCAGCGUGGGUGAGUGCUCGCUCGCUCUCUCCCUCCCCGCAGCCGCCCGCCCCUGCUCCUCCCCUCUCCGGAACCGCUGCCCCCUCAGCCCUGAUGCCCUCUGGGUUCUGUUUUCAUACCGCGUUGCGGAUCCGGUCGUGGGAAGCAGGUGCAGGGGCCUGCAGGGCCGAGGCCCGCUAAGGCAAGCAGCCUGUCCCGUGUUCACGGCUACAGAGAGACGUGUGGACCCCCAGCUCAGAGCCUAGGCUGCCUGUGCACAGGGCCCAGGGGGCUUUCAGCCCACCUCACACAGAUACACAAUAAGAAAAAGAGUGUGAGCAAGACCGUGACAGCGGGACACAUCUGUUUCCUUAAGAGCUCAGGGUGAGGUGGAGAGAGAGAGAGAGUGAUGUUUCAGCUUGUUCUCCACUCGCAGCUUCCUGUGCGAGGCUGUUCACAAAAUAAACUUCUAGGAUCUGCGCUGACUCCUCUAGGAACCCCGGACUCCGUUUUCUCAGAGACCCAAUCUGGUACCCACACACCCUGAGGAAUAGCAUGUCCUACACUGAUGGAUGCCCACUCCAAAGAGCUGCAGCCUUUGGGUGGCCCCUGUCCCAGCUGCUGCCCUGUCCAUCCUUGUCUCCCCAGGUCUGAGGCCUCAUAAGCAGGGACUCAAAAACGUGCCUCUGUCAGGUGGUCAUUCUGGCUUCAUAUGGCUCUUCAUCCUGACCUCUCCAGUUUAGUGAGAGAAGUAUGUCCAACGCGCAUAUGCGCAGUUAUUUUACUUACCCGCAUGCCCGCAUGCAAUCAUUCAUCAUCCAUCCAUCAUCUAGAGGACGAAGUCUGAGUUUGUGAGUGUGUACAUUCCUCCAUUAGCCGCACCCAGCCUGUCCACUACCAUUUCCCUGGUCUCCAGCCAGAACCGGUGACAGUUUCCUAAGCAGGUCCUGCUGCACUCCUGGUCAAGAUGGAGUAGUGGAAGUGGAGCAGCCACUAGGAAGACAUUAAAAAUAGAACCACAUUCCUCAAAACAUUAAAAAUAGAACCACUAUCUGAUUCAGUAAUUCCACUUCUGGGUAUUAUAAGGGAACAAAAUUGCUAUCUUGAAAAGAUAGCUGCACCCCAUGUUCAUUGCAACAUUGUUCACAAGAGCCAAGAUGUGGAAGUAACCUAAGUGUCCAUCAGUGGACAAAUUGAUAUAGAAGUUGUGCUGUCUAUAGUCGAUGGAAUAUUACUCAGCCAUUAAAAGGAGGAAAUGCUGCCAUUUGUCACAACAUGGGUGGACGCUGAGGGUAUUAUGCUAAGUGAAAUAAGCCAGACAGAAAAACAAAUACUGUAUGAUCUUAUUUAUAUAUGGAGUCUAAAAAAGCUGAACUCAUAGAUUCAGAGAACAGAUUAGUUAUUGCCAGAGGCAGGAAGAAAUAAGUAAAGGGGGUAAAAGGUACAAAUUUCCAGUUAUCAGAUAAAUAAGUCUUGGAAAUGUAAUGUACUUUCUGGUGACUAUAGUUAACGAUACUGUAUUAUAUAUUCGAAAGUUGCUAAGAGAGUAAAUCUUAAAAAUUCUCAUCAAAAGGAAAAAAUUGUAACUACACAUGGUGAUAGAUGUCAGCUAAACUUAUUGUGGUGAUUAUUUUGCAAUACAUGCAACUAUCAAAUCAUUAUGUUGUAUACCUAAAACUAAUAUAAUGUUACAUGUCAAUUAUAUCUCAAUUUAAAAAAGUGUUGAGUUCUCUAUUCCAACCACAAAGCCAUGAUGAAUAAAAAACAUUUUAAAAGAUAA
Molecule: long non-coding RNA, 1928 nt
Organism: Artibeus jamaicensis (Jamaican fruit-eating bat)
Lineage: Eukaryota; Metazoa; Chordata; Mammalia; Chiroptera; Phyllostomidae
Exons: 5
Source: RefSeq, a predicted model, not a curated record